GCGGAGGAAAAGAAACCAACAGGGAUUGUCUUAGUAACGGCGAGUGAAGCGGCAAAAGCUCAAAUUUGAAAUCUGGCACCUUCGGUGUCCGAGUUGUAAUUUGAAGAAGGUAACUUUGGGAUUGGCUCUUGUCUAAGUUCCUUGGAACAGGACGUCACAGAGGGUGAGAAUCCCGUGCGAUGAGAUGACCAAUCCUAUGUAAAGUGCUUUCGAAGAGUCGAGUUGUUUGGGAAUGCAGCUCUAAGUGGGUGGUAAAUUCCAUCUAAAGCUAAAUAUUGGCGAGAGACCGAUAGCGAACAAGUACAGUGAUGGAAAGAUGAAAAGAACUUUGAAAAGAGAGUGAAAAAGUACGUGAAAUUGUUGAAAGGGAAGGGCUUGAGAUCAGACUUGGUAUUUUGCAUUCCUUACCUUCGUGGUGGGGUUCCUUGCAGUUUACUGGGCCAGCAUCGGUUUGGAUGGUGGGAUAAUGACAUUGGAAUGUGGCUCUGCUUCGGUAGAGUGUUAUAGCCAGUGUUGAUACCGCCUGUCUAGACCGAGGACUGCGUCUUUGACUAGGAUGCGGCAUAAG
RNAcentral lists this ribosomal RNA (568 nucleotides) under Schwanniomyces occidentalis. Its description in RNAcentral is "eukaryotic LSU rRNA". It matches the Rfam family "Eukaryotic large subunit ribosomal RNA", at positions 50 to 634 of the family's 3401-position model. Lineage: Eukaryota; Fungi; Ascomycota; Pichiomycetes; Serinales; Debaryomycetaceae. The record is from RNAcentral.